UGAUAUCUCAGUAGCUAUUCAAUCAGUACUUAUCAUGUUUUUUACUUUUUCCAGCUCAAUGUGUCCGUCAGGAGUCGGUGCCAGUUUUGGUCUAGGCCUGGAACUGGGCCUGCAAUUCAACAAUUGCGAUUGGUCCGUCUGCUCCGAGUGGUCCAGAAGAAGCGACAUGGGUUUACGCUUUGAUGAGCCAGUGAUUUCCUGAGUAGGCGGAACAGAGCUGUCAGAGAUCGCUGACAAUUUAACCUCAGUUUUAACUCUGCUUUGGCUAGCCUUUGAUGCUCGCUUUUGGUCCCCCUUGCACGAUAUAAAUGAUACGUUAAUAGCUUAGCUAUUCAAUCAGUA
Molecule: long non-coding RNA, 342 nt
Organism: Drosophila pseudoobscura
Lineage: Eukaryota; Metazoa; Arthropoda; Insecta; Diptera; Drosophilidae
Exons: 2
Source: RefSeq, a predicted model, not a curated record